This 29-nucleotide non-coding RNA is filed under the name Mus musculus (house mouse). Lineage: Eukaryota; Metazoa; Chordata; Mammalia; Rodentia; Muridae. The record is from RNAcentral.
UGGAAUCACAGAUGACUGAGGAGGUAUUG